This is a long non-coding RNA of Physcomitrium patens, 761 nucleotides long. RefSeq lists it as uncharacterized. The record is from RefSeq and is a predicted model, not a curated record. NCBI's taxonomy places the organism in Eukaryota, Viridiplantae, Streptophyta, Bryopsida, Funariales, Funariaceae.
UUGAGUUCUGUUGAUAUGCAUCGAAGUUCGUAUCUCUUGUUUGUUUAUAUUGCUGUGGAGAUGAAUUCGAAGUGAGUCAUUGCGUACUCAUUAGCUGGAACAUCAAUUUUUCUCGGUGCAGUGUGGUAUGUGAGGAAAGUACGAAAUAUCAUGUUCCGACACCGGUUUAAUUCCUUCAACUCUACUGGGAUGGAUCUGUCGGAAGAGGACUCGAAUCGCUGUGCGGAUGUUUGUACCGAUCCUCUACGUGGAUAGCGGAAUUGACAGGAGGGCCAUUGAAGAACGCUUUGGUUAUGGUCCCCCCUUGCAACCUGCGAAAGGCAGUAAGCGAUGCAACGAGAAGUGAUUCUGAUGGCUGAUAAGCCCGCUUCCUAAAGAGUGUGGAAUGUUGUUUCAACGAUCAUUACGAAAGGAGCUCCUCAAUGUAAGCGGCAGAGAAAGUUUUGUUUCCAGACGCAUUCAUUGCGUCUGACUAACGAUUUGUCACAAUCCUCACUUUCGCAAGGGUAUUCUUUUUCAGGUGAAUUUGUCGAUUGAGCUUUUGAACAGUCAUUUUUUUCCCUGAUCGUCCAACGCUCGCAGCACCUGUCCUUGAAAAUACAUUCCUUUGGACUUUUGGAACUUUCAAAAAUUGAGUAUAUGUUCACCAAGAAGUUCAAGAUCAUGAACAAUAAGGCUUAACCAACAUGUCCUGGAAACAGGAGAUUGUCAAUGAAAUACCAGGUCUUCGUGAAGCUGCCACUGUUCUUGAGAAGUUGCAG